RNAcentral lists this transfer RNA (73 nucleotides) under Paramuricea clavata. It matches the Rfam family "tRNA". Rfam says of the family: Transfer RNA (tRNA) molecules are approximately 80 nucleotides in length. Their secondary structure includes four short double-helical elements and three loops (D, anti-codon, and T loops). Lineage: Eukaryota; Metazoa; Cnidaria; Anthozoa; Malacalcyonacea; Plexauridae. The record is from Rfam by way of RNAcentral.
GACCGCGUAGCUCAGUUGGUAGAGCAUUGGGCUAGUAUUCCAAAGGUCGUAGGUUCGACUCCCACCGUGGUCA